AAAACAAAGAGUUUGAUCAUGGCUCAGAUUGAACGCUGGCGGCAGGCCUAACACAUGCAAGUCGAACGGUAGCACAGAGAGCUUGCUCUCGGGUGACGAGUGGCGGACGGGUGAGUAAUGUCUGGGAAACUGCCUGAUGGAGGGGGAUAACUACUGGAAACGGUAGCUAAUACCGCAUAACGUCGCAAGACCAAAGAGGGGGACCUUCGGGCCUCUUGCCAUCAGAUGUGCCCAGAUGGGAUUAGCUAGUAGGUGGGGUAACGGCUCACCUAGGCGACGAUCCCUAGCUGGGUCUGAGAGGGAUGACCAGCCACACUGGAACUGAGACACGGUCCAGACUCCUACGGGAGCAGCAGUGGGAAU
This 363-nucleotide ribosomal RNA is filed under the name Enterobacter sp. CB7. RNAcentral's name for it is "bacterial SSU rRNA". It matches the Rfam family "Bacterial small subunit ribosomal RNA", at positions 1 to 361 of the family's 1533-position model. The record is from RNAcentral. Lineage: Bacteria; Pseudomonadati; Pseudomonadota; Gammaproteobacteria; Enterobacterales; Enterobacteriaceae.